GCAUGAAGCUGGAAUCGCUAGUAAUCGCGGAUCAGAAUGCCGCGGUGAAUACGUUCCCGGGUCUUGUACACACCGCCCGUCACACCAUGGGAGUCGGUAACGCCCGAAGUCAGUGACCCAACCUUAAGGAGGGAACUGCCGAAGGCGGGACUGGUAACUGGGGUGAAGUCGUAACAAGGUAUC
RNAcentral lists this ribosomal RNA (183 nucleotides) under uncultured bacterium. RNAcentral's name for it is "partial 16S ribosomal RNA". It matches the Rfam family "Bacterial small subunit ribosomal RNA", at positions 1318 to 1500 of the family's 1533-position model. The record is from RNAcentral.